RNAcentral lists this long non-coding RNA (496 nucleotides) under Selaginella moellendorffii. Its description in RNAcentral is "long non-coding RNA (SMOE_LNC001655)". Lineage: Eukaryota; Viridiplantae; Streptophyta; Lycopodiopsida; Selaginellales; Selaginellaceae. The record is from RNAcentral.
UUCUUGCCUCUGCCAGAGUUAUCACGUAAAACGAUCUAACUUAUGCUUUGUAGAAGGUGGAACGAACUCUCGAUUUUUACGUGGAAAGUCUUUUAAAAUUCGAGUCGGAAGAAGCAGCACGCUCUUCGUUCGCACGCUGACCUUGUCCGACCGAUUGGAGUGGAACCAGUCGCUGCGAUCUAUAAAACCGCGAGGUAUUCCCAUCCAUUUGUCAUGGCUCGCAAGUUUCACGCAUUGCUCUUGGCAGUACUGCUUCUUCUUGCGCUUGGGAGCAAUCGCACGGAGGCCAGUCGCUCGAAAUUGGUGGGCAGCAGUGGAGAGCAAUCACGCGCAAGCUCGCAAAAGUCCACAGAUCCUUCGGGAUCCUCCUCGCAGGGAAUCGAUAUAGAUGGCAAUAGAUACAAUGUCGUCACUGCCGCGAGAGGAUGACGCGCGGUAUAUAUCAUUCGAAUUGUAAAUCCACGACGCGCGGUGCGCCGCCGUACAAGCUUUGUUA